RNAcentral lists this ribosomal RNA (301 nucleotides) under uncultured bacterium. RNAcentral describes it as "partial 16S ribosomal RNA". It matches the Rfam family "Bacterial small subunit ribosomal RNA", at positions 509 to 807 of the family's 1533-position model. The record is from RNAcentral.
CAGUCGCCGCGGUAAUACAGAGGGUGCAAGCGUUAAUCGGAAUUACUGGGCGUAAAGCGCGCGUAGGUGGUUUGUUAAGUUGGAUGUGAAAUCCCCGGGCUCAACCUGGGAACUGCAUCCAAAACUGGCAAGCUAGAGUAUGGUAGAGGGUGGUGGAAUUUCCUGUGUAGCGGUGAAAUGCGUAGAUAUAGGAAGGAACACCAGUGGCGAAGGCGACCACCUUGACUGAUACUGACACUGAGGUGCGAAAGCGUGGGGAGCAAACAGGAUUAGAUACCCGUGUAGUCCCUGUCUCUUAUAC